GCGCCUCUUGGGUGAUUUAUCUGACCAUCGUCAAAGAGGAACAUGGACCAUGCCUUUGAGGGGUAUGGAUGUUGGACCACCGAUCAAGGGGGAUAAAGUUCAUUCCUUGGGUGAUUUAUUUGACCGUCGUCAAAGGGGGACAUGGGCCAUACCUUUGAGGGGUAUGGAUGUUAGAGGGGUUCCUUGCGAUAAAAGACACAGAAUGAAUAAUACAUCAUUGUCAUAUAUAUAUUUUGUGUUACAAGAGGUUUCCUGGCCACGAUCGGGGUUGAUAUCACAUUUUUAAGCAUAAAAGACUCGGAACUUUGCAGCAUUCCAGCUCCGGGGAAUCUUUUUCUUGGCUAGGUCUUUUAUCUUGUAGGCACCUUACCUGGUCUUAUCUACUACUCGGUAGGGCCCUUCUCAGUUGGGUGCUAGUUUCCCCUUGACCCAACCAAUGUCUGCUCUACGAAGGACCAAAGCUCCAACUUCAAAGUUCAUGGGGACGAUUGAGGAGUUAUAUUUCUCUAUUGUCCUCAUUUUGGCAGUCGCUUCUCUUAUCCUGGAACAGUCUCUCUUUUCCUCAAUCCAAUACAGGUUGUGCCUAAUUAAGGUUGGAUUGGCCUCUUCAUUAAAGUGCAAAGUUCUCCAUGUAGGUUCUCAUAUUUCCAUUGGGAUCAUGGCCUCAACGGCAUAUGUGAGGUUGAAAAGGGACUCGCCGGUUGUGGAAUGUGGAGUUGUUCGGUAAGCCCAAAGCACAUGAUGGAGAUGGUUGGGCCAAGUUCCCUUAGCUUCGUCUAGCCUUUUCUUGAUUCCACUUAGCCUUUUCUUCUCAUUUUCUUUGUCACCUUGUUAUAACUAUUUCAAACUAAAACUCUCAAUAUCAAAAUUUUUUUGUCUUCAUGUCUUAAAUCAAUC
This 897-nucleotide long non-coding RNA is filed under the name Lupinus angustifolius (narrow-leaved blue lupine). Its description in RNAcentral is "long non-coding RNA (LANG_LNC001487)". The record is from RNAcentral. Lineage: Eukaryota; Viridiplantae; Streptophyta; Magnoliopsida; Fabales; Fabaceae.